GACGAACGCUGGCGGCGUGCUUAACACAUGCAAGUCGAACGGAAAGGCCCUGCUUGCAGGGUACUCGAGUGGCGAACGGGUGAGUAACACGUGGGUGAUCUGCCCUGCACUUCGGGAUAAGCCUGGGAAACUGGGUCUAAUACCUGAUAGGAGCCAUUUUUAGUGUGAUGGUUGGAAAGUUUUUUCGGUGUAGGAUGAGCUCGCGGCCUAUCAGCUUGUUGGUGGGGUAAUGGCCUACCAAGGCGGCGACGGGUAGCCGGCCUGAGAGGGUGGACGGCCACCUUGGGACUGAGAUACGGCCCAGGCUCCUAAGGGACGCAGCAGUGGGGAAUAUUGCACGAUGGGCGCAAGCCUGAUGCAGAGACGCCGCGUGGGGGAUGACGGCCUUCGGGUUGUAAACUCAUUUCGCUAGGGACGAAGCUUUUUGUGACGGUACCUAGAUAAGAAGCACCGGCUAACUACGUG
This 465-nucleotide ribosomal RNA is filed under the name uncultured bacterium. Its description in RNAcentral is "partial 16S ribosomal RNA". It matches the Rfam family "Bacterial small subunit ribosomal RNA", at positions 28 to 507 of the family's 1533-position model. The record is from RNAcentral.